Molecule: unclassified non-coding RNA, 336 nt
Filed under: soil metagenome
Description: partial contains 5.8S ribosomal RNA, internal transcribed spacer 2, and large subunit ribosomal RNA
Rfam family: 5.8S ribosomal RNA (bases 1-120)
Source: RNAcentral
GAUGAAGAACGUAGCGAAAUGCGAUAAGUAAUGUGAAUUGCAGAAUUCCGUGAAUCAUCGAAUCUUUGAACGCACAUUGCGCCCCCUGGUAUUCCGGGGGGCAUGCCUGUCCGAGCGUCAUUGCAACCUUCAAGCGCGGCUUGUGUGUUGGGUCUCGUCCCCCGUGGACGGGCCCGAAAGGCAGUGGCCGCGUCCCGACAUGGUGCCCGAGCGUAUGGGAAUCCUCUUCCGCUCGAAUCGGCCCAUGCGGCGCUGGUCGUAACCAAAUUUUUUACCGGUUGACCUCGGAUCAGGUAGGGAUACCCGCUGAACUUAAGCAUAUCAAUAAGCGGAGGA